This 308-nucleotide unclassified non-coding RNA is filed under the name fungal sp. RNAcentral's name for it is "partial internal transcribed spacer region". The stretch from base 1 to 46 matches the Rfam family "Eukaryotic small subunit ribosomal RNA", at positions 1786 to 1831 of the family's 1831-position model. Lineage: Eukaryota; Fungi. The record is from RNAcentral. RNAcentral also lists the same sequence under 1 other name.
AAGUCGUAACAAGGUUUCCGUAGGUGAACCUGCGGAAGGAUCAUUACAGUGCUCGUCGGGACGCCACGCCUCCGGGCGUCGGUGCCUCGCACCUGCCCCACCCGUGUUUACCUUUCCUUUUGUUGCUUCGGCGGGCCCGCUCAGGGGCGUACCCACAUGUCGGGUGCGCCCGAGGGCGGACCGGGGGUUUCUCCCCUGGCCAGCGCCCGUCAGAGGACCCUUUGAACCCUUUGUGAAUACACGGUGACAAGUCUGAGUUUGAUCUUGAAAUACAGUCAAAACUUUCAACAACGGAUCUCUUGGUUCUG